AGGCCAAUAGCUCAACUGGCAGAGUGUCGGUCUCCAAAACCGAAGGUUGGGGGUUCGAUUCCCUCUUGGCCUGCCA
This 76-nucleotide transfer RNA is filed under the name Terriglobia bacterium. RNAcentral's name for it is "tRNA-Trp". It matches the Rfam family "tRNA". From Rfam's summary of the family: Transfer RNA (tRNA) molecules are approximately 80 nucleotides in length. The record is from RNAcentral. Lineage: Bacteria; Pseudomonadati; Acidobacteriota; Terriglobia.